Molecule: ribosomal RNA, 326 nt
Filed under: Acidobacteria bacterium enrichment culture clone C03a_08_S17
Lineage: Bacteria; Pseudomonadati; Acidobacteriota
Also listed under: 1 other name
Description: bacterial SSU rRNA
Rfam family: Bacterial small subunit ribosomal RNA
Source: RNAcentral
GAUCCUGGCUCAGAAUCAACGCUGGCGGCGUGCCUAACACAUGCAAGUCGAACGAGAAAGUGGAGCAAUCCAUGAGUAAAGUGGCGCACGGGUGAGUAACACGUGACUAACCUACCCUUGAGUGGGGGAUAACCUGGGGAAACCUUGGCUAAUACCGCAUAAUACCUAUCGGGUCAAAGGAGCAAUUCGCUUAAGGAGGGGGUCGCGGCCGAUUAGUUAGUUGGCGGGGUAAUGGCCCACCAAGACGAUGAUCGGUAUCCGGCCUGAGAGGGCGCACGGACACACUGGAACUGAAACACGGUCCAGACUCCUACGGGAGGCAGCAG